CACACAGCAGACCAAAAGACAAAAGUGUCUGGUCGCGUGAUCACGCACAUCUCAUCAGAGAUUGAUAAGUGCCACGUUUUGAUAAUUUUGAGAAAUAAGCUACAGAUUCAGCUUAGGGGAUAAAUAAUUUUUCCAUUGUAAGUUAAAAAUUUGAGGCCUGACCGCCUGAGCCAUCAUUGAGAACAUCUACCAAGUUUAGCCAUUGUUCAUCCAGCCUGGCAUCGUUAGCAGUAGUUUUUCAGCUUCCUCUAUUUGGUGAAUAGUUCACUCUUUAAUGGGAUUAAUGAGACCCAUUGAUGUUGGUCGAAUUCUUUCAUCUCCCCCUCCUUGAAUCCCCAGAUGAAGCCUAAGGAGAAUUGGAGAUGCCUGGCGAUAUUCCCCAGGCUUCAAGAUUUGAAUCCUGAGCCAGCCAUCAUCAACAAGAACAACAAAUGCAAGUUUCUCUUUGUGCUGGUAUCAACUUGUCAUUAGCAACAGUCCCAUCUUCAAAGAUACCAGAUAA
Molecule: long non-coding RNA, 502 nt
Organism: Daphnia pulex (common water flea)
Lineage: Eukaryota; Metazoa; Arthropoda; Branchiopoda; Diplostraca; Daphniidae
Exons: 4
Source: RefSeq, a predicted model, not a curated record